GCCUAAUACAUGCAAGUCGAACGCACAGCGAAAGGUGCUUGCACCUUUCAAGUGAGUGGCGAACGGGUGAGUAACACGUGGACAACCUGCCUCAAGGCUGGGGAUAACAUUUGGAAACAGAUGCUAAUACCGAAUAAAACUUAGUGUCGCAUGACACAAAGUUAAAAGGCGCUUCGGCGUCACCUAAAGAUGGAUCCGCGGUGCAUUAGUUAGUUGGUGGGGUAAAGGCCUACCAAGACAAUGAUGCAUAGCCGAGUUGAGAGACUGAUCGGCCACAUUGGGACUGAGACACGGCCCAAACUCCUACGGGAGGCUGCAGUAGGGAAUCUUCCACAAUGGGCGAAAGCCUGAUGGAGCAACGCCGCGUGUGUGAUGAAGGCUUUCGGGUCGUAAAGCACUGUUGUAUGGGAAGAACAGCUAGAAUAGGAAAUGAUUUUAGUUUGACGGUACCAUACCAGAAAGGGACGGCUAAAUACGUGCCAGCAGCCGCGGUAAUACGUAUGUCCCGAGCGUUAUCCGGAUUUAUUGGGCGUAAAGCGAGCGCAGACGGUUUAUUAAGUCUGAUGUGAAAGCCCGGAGCUCAACUCCGGAAUGGCAUUGGAAACUGGUUAACUUGAGUGCAGUAGAGGUAAGUGGAACUCCAUGUGUAGCGGUGGAAUGCGUAGAUAUAUGGAAGAACACCAGUGGCGAAGGCGGC
This 697-nucleotide ribosomal RNA is filed under the name Leuconostoc mesenteroides. Its description in RNAcentral is "bacterial SSU rRNA". It matches the Rfam family "Bacterial small subunit ribosomal RNA", at positions 46 to 725 of the family's 1533-position model. Lineage: Bacteria; Bacillati; Bacillota; Bacilli; Lactobacillales; Lactobacillaceae. The record is from RNAcentral.